GAUGAACGCUGGCGGCGUGCCUAAUACAUGCAAGUCGAGCGAACGGACGAGAAGCUUGCUUCUCUGAUGUUAGCGGCGGACGGGUGAGUAACACGUGGAUAACCUACCUAUAAGACUGGGAUAACUUCGGGAAACCGGAGCUAAUACCGGAUGAUAUUUUGAACCGCAUGGUUCAAAAGUGAAAGACGGUCUUGCUGUCACUUAUAGAUGGAUCCGCGCUGCAUUAGCUAGUUGGUAAGGUAACGGCUUACCAAGGCAACGAUGCAUAGCCGACCUGAGAGGGGGAUCGGCCACACUGGAACUGAGACACGGUCCAGACGCCUACGGGAGGCAGCAGUAGGGAAUCUUCCGCAAUGGGCGGAAGCCUGACGGAGCAACGCCGCGUGAGUGAUGAAGGUCUUCGGAUCGUAAAACUCUGUUAUUAGGGAAGAACAUAUGUGUAAGUAACUGUGCACAUCUUGACGGUACCUAAUCAGAAAGCCACGGCUAACUACGUG
Molecule: ribosomal RNA, 497 nt
Filed under: uncultured bacterium
Lineage: Bacteria
Description: partial 16S ribosomal RNA
Rfam family: Bacterial small subunit ribosomal RNA
Source: RNAcentral